UACGUAGGGACCGAGCGUUGUCCGGAAUCAUUGGGCGUAAAGAGCGUGUAGGCGGCCACCUAAGUCCUGCGUGAAAUCUUGCGGCUCAACCGCAAGCGGUCGUGGGAAACUGGGUGGCUAGAGUGCGGGAGAGGAGAGUGGAAUUCCUGGUGUAGCGGUGGAAUGCGCAGAUAUCAGGAAGAACACCCGUGGCGAAGGCGGCUCUCUGGAACGCAACUGACGCUGAGACGCGAAAGCGUGGGGAGCAAACAGG
Molecule: ribosomal RNA, 253 nt
Filed under: uncultured bacterium
Lineage: Bacteria
Description: partial 16S ribosomal RNA
Rfam family: Bacterial small subunit ribosomal RNA
Source: RNAcentral